This 440-nucleotide ribosomal RNA is filed under the name uncultured Anaerolineaceae bacterium. RNAcentral's name for it is "bacterial SSU rRNA". It matches the Rfam family "Bacterial small subunit ribosomal RNA", at positions 925 to 1382 of the family's 1533-position model. Lineage: Bacteria; Bacillati; Chloroflexota; Anaerolineae; Anaerolineales; Anaerolineaceae. The record is from RNAcentral.
ACAAGCAGUGGAGUAUGUGGUUUAAUUCGAAGCAACGCGAAGAACCUUACCAGGGCUUGACAUCCCUUGAAGCAGCUAGAGAUAGCUGUGUCCUUCGGGACAAGGAGACAGGUGGUGCAUGGUUGUCGUCAGCUCGUGUCGUGAGAUGUUCGGUUAAGUCCGCUAACGAGCGCAACCCUCGUCGUAUGUUAUAUGUGUCAUACGAGACUGCCGGUAAAAGCCGGAGGAAGGUGAGGAUGAUGUCAAGUCAGCAUGACCUUUAUAUCCAGGGCUACACACACGCUACAAUGGUCUGUACAAUGGGUAGCCAAGCCGCGAGGCGGAGCCAAUCCUGAAAGCAGGCCUCAGUUCAGAUUGCAGUCUGCAACUCGACUGCAUGAAGCCGGAGUUGCUAGUAACCGCAGGUCAGCAAUACUGCGGUGAAUACGUUCCCGGGUCUU